RNAcentral lists this transfer-messenger RNA (364 nucleotides) under Gemmatimonadota. RNAcentral describes it as "JACCXV01 sp013696835 Standard tmRNA". It matches the Rfam family "transfer-messenger RNA". Rfam says of the family: Bacterial tmRNA, also known as 10Sa RNA or SsrA, is named for its dual tRNA and mRNA-like properties. Its role is to liberate the mRNA from a stalled ribosome. Lineage: Bacteria; Pseudomonadati. RNAcentral also lists the same sequence under 1 other name. The record is from RNAcentral.
GGGGGCGAACGGCUUCGACGGGGAUGGACGAUGCACGAGCGGCAUGCCGAGCACCUUCGGUCAGCUCGUUAAAAUGCCCGGAGAAACACAACUGCCAACGACAACUUGGCUCUGGCUGCCUAACUAAACACUAGGCAACCCGUCUCCGGCCAGGCUCCCCGCCUGUGGUGCGGUCGAGAGGCGUGACAAAAGCAGGCUAGCGCCGGCCCCCGCCCGCGAGGACGGCGCGAAACGCAGCGGGCUCAUCUCCGGGGUAGCCUCGUCGGCGGGACGCCCGGGAGAGACAUUUAAAGGCCGACUACGCAUGUAGAUGUUCUUGCUGAACCGUUUUCGGACGUGGGUUCAACUCCCACCGCCUCCACCA